AGAACGAUAUAGAGAAGAUUAGCAUGGCCCCUCUGCGAGGAGGACAUCCUAAAAGGAAGAUAUAAUUAUCCUCAUA
Molecule: small nuclear RNA, 76 nt
Filed under: Vulpes vulpes (red fox)
Lineage: Eukaryota; Metazoa; Chordata; Mammalia; Carnivora; Canidae
Source: RNAcentral